This 1297-nucleotide long non-coding RNA is filed under the name Anas platyrhynchos platyrhynchos (common mallard). RNAcentral describes it as "lncRNA (ENSAPLG00000029295.1)". The record is from RNAcentral. Lineage: Eukaryota; Metazoa; Chordata; Aves; Anseriformes; Anatidae.
UCCUGCUUACAAUGCUUUCUAAUGUGAUAUUGCAGUAUGGAGACCUGGGGAUCUCCUUGUAGCCCCUCUCUCCCUCACCCCAGCCUUCAUCCAGAAUCCCGAAAUGCAUCUAAUCCCCAAAUUGAUCUCUGAGGUCAACGCAAUUAUUUUGGUUUCUUAUCCCUUGAUUGAAAAAAAAAAAAGACUGUGAAAAAAGCCACAUAACCAAAGGCUGUCUUAAGAGGCAGAGCAAAAUUAUGUGGUGUUGAGGGGUUUAAAGUCUGUGAUUUUGUGAUCUGUUAGAUCUAAUUAUAGGAAGUACAGAGGAAGGAGUGGGAGAUUGCAUGUUUAUCUGUGAUACAAUGAGAGAAUAUAAAACUCUGAAUCAGUAUUGACUAUCCAAGCCUAAUAGCAGUACUAUGGCAAGGGUUAUUUAUAUUUUUGAGAAUAUGAAGAAAAGUACUUUUUGAAAGUUUUAUAUUUUGUUUCUGUUUUUUUUUUUUUUUUUUUUUUUUAAUAGAUAUAUACAUACGCUUGAAUUUGAGUAUUUAUUUCUAUAUUAAAAAAAUAUAUGGUUUGUUUGUUUGCUUAUUUAUUUAUUUAAAGCAUCAAGUAAGUUUGGUAUGUAUAGUAUAACUAUGUAAUUUUCUACCUGAUCCCCAUGUUAUAAGCUUAGGUAUUUGUCUAGUGUAAAGAGAGGAAAGAAAAUAUCCUUCCCUAUCUUUAUAUGCUAGGAGCUUCUACAUUUUCUUUCCUGCUUCUCAGAUUGUGUGAACACUGACAUCUCUGGCAAAGUCCUGGACUGUCAGUUGCUGGAGACAUGUGAUGCUCAGUGGAUCUGUCUCCAUGGCUGUGGUAUCAGUUCUUCAGAGCUCCUAAUAGCCAGUCAGGGUAAAUCAAGAAACCCGUGAUUAUUGUCUGUUCCUUUGAAAUGCCUCUGCUGCUGCUGCUGCUGCUGCAGGAAGAAAGACGGGGAGGCAUGCAGUCCUCGCACACUGGCAUUGCUGUUGUCUGUUUUAAUGAGCCAUGGCAACCAAGAAGAGAGGAUCCUGGGGCAUCUCAGCUCUCAGGGUGCCAUCUGCUGCGGAUCAUCUGAAAAAAGCCCCCAUCUCCCUGUGUUUGGUGGGAAGGCGGUAGGAGGAGGAGACCGGGACUCUGGGCUUAGCUGUGUCCCUAUCCGGACUUUGAUCUGGCAGCAAAUACACAGUAAUGACCAUAUGCAGACCAUCACUAUUAUUUUUAGUGUACAUCUUUCCUUUAACAAGGAGUGCUACUGCGUUUGUGGAUGAAAGCCCAGCUACCCGUGUUGUGUCUUUUC